Molecule: long non-coding RNA, 757 nt
Organism: Talpa occidentalis (Iberian mole)
Lineage: Eukaryota; Metazoa; Chordata; Mammalia; Eulipotyphla; Talpidae
Exons: 3
Source: RefSeq, a predicted model, not a curated record
GCCGGUUCAGCAGCGCUGGACAGCCCCCGUCCAGGUUCGGACGCCACCUUCUUGCAACACCGAACUUCUCUGGAAGCUGCGGAGCCUUCAGCAUCCGUUUCCUCUCACCCCCGCGAAUCCCUCCAUCCUGCACGCAGCUGACCCCCCAUUCUCAUCAAGUCCCAGCCUAGGGCCUGGGCCACGAAACCUUUCUGGAUGCCCGGAUCCAUAUUAGGUGUUGAUCUGACUUCUGGUUCCUGCUAUUCCCAUGUGGCCCCGGGACCACCUUCUGAAGCAACAGGACCCAUACAUGACAUGUUAUAGAACCUGCCUACCUUGACUCCCCAUCUCUGCAAAUAUAUGACCAGACUAGAAUGAUCAGCACCAGACAUCCAUCUCCUGCUGACAGCCAAAAGGUGUGGAACUCCAUCCUGGAAGAAAUAAUCGACUGUUGGGUCUAAAAUCACACUGGAAUCUCAACUAGCCUGACAUCCUUGUUGACAUAUGCAGAAACCCAUGUGUGCAGGAGGAAGGCGCAGCCUUCUAGAAUGGAGGCAGAUGUUGUCAUCUUCAUAGCAGGAAUGAGCAAAGGGAGAUGUCAUCAAACUCAGUGACUUACCCAAGGUCACCCCACUGGCCUGUCACUGAGUGUCUGACCUUAGAGUGUGCCUUAACCCCUGGGUCCAGAAAGGACCUGGGUUCAGACCUCUCUCUUCCAAGCCAGCAGUUCCCUCUCUAUAAAUGCUGCAAGUUGCAUAUGGAAUUUUCCUGCCACUGA